RNAcentral lists this unclassified non-coding RNA (305 nucleotides) under plant metagenome. RNAcentral's name for it is "partial contains 5.8S ribosomal RNA, internal transcribed spacer 2, and large subunit ribosomal RNA". The stretch from base 1 to 105 matches the Rfam family "5.8S ribosomal RNA", at positions 50 to 154 of the family's 154-position model. The record is from RNAcentral.
GAAAUGCGAUAAGUAAUGUGAAUUGCAGAAUUCAGUGAAUCACCGAAUCUUUGAACGCACAUUGCGCCCGCCAGUAUUCUGGCGGGCAUGCCUGUUCGAGCGUCAUUUCAACCAUCAAGCCCCCGGCUUGUGUUGGGGACCUGCGGCUGCCCGCAGGCCCUGAAAAACAGUGGCGGGCUCGCUGUCACACCGAGCGUAGUAGCAUACAUUCUCGCUCAGGGCGUGCUGCGGGUUCCGGCCGUUAAACGACCUUCAUAACCCAAGGUUGACCUCGGAUCAGGUAGGAAGACCCGCUGAACUUAAGC